Molecule: ribosomal RNA, 338 nt
Filed under: Streptococcus sp. oral taxon E43
Lineage: Bacteria; Bacillati; Bacillota; Bacilli; Lactobacillales; Streptococcaceae
Description: bacterial SSU rRNA
Rfam family: Bacterial small subunit ribosomal RNA
Source: RNAcentral
GAUAGCUAAUACCGCAUAAUAUUAAUUAUUGCAUGAUAAUUGAUUGAAAGAUGCAAGCGCAUCACUAGUAGAUGGACCUGCGUUGUAUUAGCUAGUUGGUAAGGUAAGAGCUUACCAAGGCGACGAUACAUAGCCGACCUGAGAGGGUGAUCGGCCACACUGGGACUGAGACACGGCCCAGACUCCUACGGGAGGCAGCAGUAGGGAAUCUUCGGCAAUGGACGAAAGUCUGACCGAGCAACGCCGCGUGAGUGAAGAAGGUUUUCGGAUCGUAAAGCUCUGUUGUAAGUCAAGAACGUGUGUGAGAGUGGAAAGUUCACACAGUGACGGAGCUACCA